GAUCAUGGCUCAGGAUGAACGCUGGCGGCGUGCUUAACACAUGCAAGUCGAACGAAGCAACUUGUACGAUCCCUCGGGGUGACGACUGUGACUGAGUGGCGGACGGGUGAGUAACGCGUGGGUAACCUACCUUGUACAGGGGGAUAACAGUUGGAAACGACUGCUAAUACCGCAUAAGCGCACAGCAUCGCAUGAUGCAGUGUGAAAAGUUUUUCGGUAUAAGAUGGACCCCGCGUCUGAUUAGCUAGUUGGUGAGGUAACGGCCCACCAAGGCGACGAUCAGUAGCCGACCUGAGAGGGUGACCGGCCACAUUGGGACUGAGACACGGCCCAAACUCCUACGGGAGGCAGCAGUGGGGAAUAUUGCACAAUGGGCGAAAGCCUGAUGCAGCCGACGCCGCGUGAGCGAAGAAGUAUUUCGGUAUGUAAAGCUCUAUCAGCAGGGAAGAUAAUGACGGUACCUGACUAAGAAGCACCGGCUAAAUACGUGCCAGCAGCCGC
RNAcentral lists this ribosomal RNA (501 nucleotides) under uncultured bacterium. RNAcentral's name for it is "bacterial SSU rRNA". It matches the Rfam family "Bacterial small subunit ribosomal RNA", at positions 15 to 518 of the family's 1533-position model. The record is from RNAcentral.